GCGGAGGAAAAGAAACCAACCGGGAUUGCCUUAGUAACGGCGAGUGAAGCGGCAAAAGCUCAAAUUUGAAAUCUGGUACCUUCGGUGCCCGAGUUGUAAUUUGGAGAGGGCAACUUUGGGGCCGUUCCUUGUCUAUGUUCCUUGGAACAGGACGUCAUAGAGGGUGAGAAUCCCGUGUGGCGAGGAGUGCGGUUCUUUGUAAAGUGCCUUCGAAGAGUCGAGUUGUUUGGGAAUGCAGCUCUAAGUGGGUGGUAAAUUCCAUCUAAAGCUAAAUAUUGGCGAGAGACCGAUAGCGAACAAGUACAGUGAUGGAAAGAUGAAAAGAACUUUGAAAAGAGAGUGAAAAAGUACGUGAAAUUGUUGAAAGGGAAGGGCAUUUGAUCAGACAUGGUGUUUUGUGCCCUCUGCUCCUUGUGGGUAGGGGAAUCUCGCAUUUCACUGGGCCAGCAUCAGUUUUGGUGGCAGGAUAAAUCCAUAGGAAUGUAGCUUGCCUCGGUAAGUAUUAUAGCCUGUGGGAAUACUGCCAGCUGGGACUGAGGACUGCGACGUAAGUCAAGGAUGCUGGCAUAAUGGUUAUAUGCCGCCCGUCUUGAAACACGGACC
RNAcentral lists this ribosomal RNA (603 nucleotides) under Saccharomyces cerevisiae (brewer's yeast). RNAcentral's name for it is "partial large subunit ribosomal RNA". It matches the Rfam family "Eukaryotic large subunit ribosomal RNA", at positions 50 to 667 of the family's 3401-position model. The record is from RNAcentral. Lineage: Eukaryota; Fungi; Ascomycota; Saccharomycetes; Saccharomycetales; Saccharomycetaceae.